UGGCGUGCCUUUUGUAGAAUGAACCGGCGAGUUACGAUUUGAUGCAAGGUUAAGCAGUAAAUGUGGAGCCGUAGCGAAAGCGAGUCUGAAUAGGGCGUUUAGUAUUUGGUCGUAGACCCGAAACCAGGUGAUCUACCCUUGGUCAGGUUGAAGUUCAGGUAACACUGAAUGGAGGACCGAACCGACUUACGUUGAAAAGUGAGCGGAUGAACUGAGGGUAGCGGAGAAAUUCCAAUCGAACCUGGAGAUAGCUGGUUCUCUCCGAAAUAGCUUUAGGGCUAGCCUCAAGUGAUGAUUAUUGGAGGUAGAGCACUGUUUGGACGAGGGGCCCCUCUCGGGUUACCGAAUUCAGACAAACUCCGAAUGCCAAUUAAUUUAACUUGGGAGUCAGAACAUGGGUGAUAAGGUCCGUGUUCGAAAGGGAAACAGCCCAGACCACCAGCUAAGGUCCCAAAAUAUAUGUUAAGUGGAAAAGGAUGUGGCGUUGCCCAGACAACUAGGAUGUUGGCUUAGAAGCAGCCAUCAUUUAAAGAGUGCGUAAUAGCUCACUAGUCGAGUGACACUGCGCCGAAAAUGUACCGGGGCUAAACAUAUUACCGAAGCUGUGGAUUGUCCUUUGGACAAUGGUAGGAGAGCGUUCUAAGGGCGUUGAAGCAUGAUCGUAAGGACAUGUGGAGCGCUUAGAAGUGAGAAUGCCGGUGUGAGUAGCGAAAGACGGGUGAGAAUCCCGUCCACCGAUUGACUAAGGUUUCCAGAGGAAGGCUCGUCCGCUCUGGGUUAGUCGGGUCCUAAGCUGAGGCCGACAGGCGUAGGCGAUGGAUAACAGGUUGAUAUUCCUGUACCACCUAUAAUCGUUUUAAUCGAUGGGGGGACGCAGUAGGAUAGGCGAAGCGUGCGAUUGGAUUGCACGUCUAAGCAGUAAGGCUGAGUAUUAGGCAAAUCCGGUACUCAUUAAGGCUGAGCUGUGAUGGGGAGAAGACAUUGUGUCUUCGAGUCGUUGAUUUCACACUGCCGAGAAAAGCCUCUAGAUAGAAAAUAGGUGCCCGUACCGCAAACCGACACAGGUAGUCAAGAUGAGAAUUCUAAGGUGAGCGAGCGAACUCUCGUUAAGGAACUCGGCAAAAUGACCCCGUAACUUCGGGAGAAGGGGUGCUCUUUAGGGUUAACGCCCAGAAGAGCCGCAGUGAAUAGGCCCAAGCGACUGUUUAUCAAAAACACAGGUCUCUGCUAAACCGUAAGGUGAUGUAUAGGGGCUGACGCCUGCCCGGUGCUGGAAGGUUAAGAGGAGUGGUUAGCUUCUGCGAAGCUACGAAUCGAAGCCCCAGUAAACGGCGGCCGUAACUAUAACGGUCCUAAGGUAGCGAAAUUCCUUGUCGGGUAAGUUCCGACCCGCACGAAAGGCGUAACGAUUUGGGCACUGUCUCAACGAGAGACUCGGUGAAAUCAUAGU
This 1450-nucleotide ribosomal RNA is filed under the name Staphylococcus aureus. Its description in RNAcentral is "partial 23S ribosomal RNA". It matches the Rfam family "Bacterial large subunit ribosomal RNA", at positions 597 to 2048 of the family's 2925-position model. Lineage: Bacteria; Bacillati; Bacillota; Bacilli; Caryophanales; Staphylococcaceae. The record is from RNAcentral.